GCGCCGGAAGCGGAAGGGGCGGGCCCGGGCCGAGCCCGCAGCGAUGGCGCGCUGCCCGCAGCGCCUGGACCGCGCUCGUUGGCAAAGAAAGGACGGCAAUGUUCGCGAGAGUCAACUGCAGGCAUUUCAGCAGCUGAGUCGGUGAAGCUGACAUGACCAGGCACCAACAGCACUUUGAGGUCCUUCAUUGAGGAUUCCAUUCCUACCCAUGUAAUCCAGCCUUGAAGGAUGACACAGUUAGCUGCUGAAGUUUCACAGUGUGGUUGGAGCCUGCAGGGAAUGAUGCUCAAAGCUGCUGGAACAGACACGGGCUGCGCUGUCCUCGUGACUGCGACUGGGAGGGGAGCUGCUGCCUCCCAGUACAGUGCUCCUCACAGCAACUGGGGCUGUUCUUCACUUCUUCACUGAGAGCAAAGGAAAAAAGUAUCCCAAAAUGAUGAGCUGCAAGGAGCCAGAGGGGAAUAAUUCUUUAGUACAUUUCUUUCUCAAGCUGCAUAUCUUUAGAGACAGAACAACUGCUGUGCUGUAUACUCAUUCACAACAACUUACACUAGAGAAAUAAACCAUUUAUAAGCACAUACACAUGUCCAACAGAAAUCAUACUACUGCAGCAUGAAACUGUAGAAUCCUUGGCCACCAGGAGAGACAAUAACAAUCCCAUCAUUUGGUAAAUGUGGAAUAUACAUAUGCUGUGUACUGCACUACACACACAGGAAGCCACAGGACACAGAGAACUGCAAUCCCUCCAUUAAGAAUGUAAUUUUACUGAGACUAAUCCCUUUACCAAUUAGGAAAAAUUGGAAAUGAGAUAAUCAGAAUGCUUCCUUUUUAGCUUAGGGCACAUGCAAACCCAGUAAAAAUCAGAUUUGCACAGUUGUACAGACCACACUGUGAAAGUAUCAGAAGUAAAGGCUGCAAGUGCUCCAUGUACUGACUUGAACUUUACAGCAACAUCAAAACUGAAGCAGGAGAUAAGACAGCCCCAAAGAAAGUGCAUUUGUGUUCUGCUUUCAGAGCAAGAUCCAAACCUGAUGGCGUGGUGCAAGGCAACUUGGCAUUGUCUGUUGUGUGAAUACACCCUGCCUAUCAAUGUCCUGGAAACUCUGAUACAGAAACUACUGCAACAAAAGGACUUAGAUCUUGAGAUGAAAGUAUCUGAACUGCAGACUUCAGUAAACCUCCAGAGACAUGAGCACUUCUCCCUCACCUGACCUCCAUAUGCUCUCAGUCUAUGCAGGUAUCACUGGAGACAGUGGAUUAAUUGUAACUUGCUAAGUCUUGACCAGGGGCUAUCUCACUACUGCUGUUCAUCAGUGUCAUGGAAUAAUCUGGUUGAACAUAACUUCUUUUUUUAAUAAGGUAACUAAGUAACAUUAAAUAUAGUUAAAAAGUGAUAUUUUUUAGCAUUAAGACAAAAUUGUGAGCACAGUAAACACCAAAAGCAAAGAUUUAAUAUACUUGCUACAACAUUAUAUUGCUCAACUCCUGAAUUUAUUUGCAUGCACCUGCCCUUACAUGGAAAAUGCAAUGUUUAUAAAAAGAUGUUACAAACUUUUACAAGGUAUCAACCAAUGCAUUACUGUUGUCCCAGUAAACCUAGACACACUAGUUAUGUGUCCAAGAAGACCUCUUGCAGACACAGAUUUACCACCUCUGCAGGGAGUGGAAACACCCCAACCUUUAAAAUGCUUCUUAAAAGCUAAAUUGGUGCUGGUAUCAUGUGCCUAACAGCUUUAGAAAUGUUUCAUUUACAGGAAUGACACAGGUAGCAUAAGACUUCUCAUAUUUCUGCCCAGAAAAUGGUAUUGUGACUAGAAUACCUGUUAUAAAUGAGCGCAAUGGGCCAGUCGGGUCAAUUAUAUAGCCAAUUUAUUAAUACAGAAAAGAGAAAGCAAAUCGCAGCGCUGGGCGGCGGGGGAGUCCUCGCUCCACCAACUGCCGCGCCGAAAACUGUUCCGUUCCCCUUUUUGUACCCCCCGCGCUCCCAGCCCCGUCGCAUUUCCGGUGCUCCUCCGCUCAUGUCCACCCGGUUGUUAGAGGGUCUCCUUCUGCCUCCUGGUGGUCGUCGAAUAGGGCCUCUGGUACUUUUCCUCGGCGCCCCCCUCUCUGGGAACCUGUGUAGCUCCUGAGUUCUACUGAGACCAGAAUUCCCACCAGUAACCACCAAGAUUCAUCCACAAAGAACUGCAAUGAACUCAUUCCCUACUGCUAGCUGAGACAGUCUUGACAUCCUGAAGCAGAAUCUAAAUUCACAACUUCAGCUGAAAAAGGUCUGGUAUCUUACCAGUCAGUUCAGCUUUUGUGGCUUAGAUUUAAACUUCCUGGCCAACAAACUGCCACCACAGAACUGCAGUUCUGCAUCCUGAAUGAUGGACUCAAAGACACCAAAGCUGGAGCUCACUUUGGCGAGGUAAAGGAGUGAGCUGGUGUAAGGUAAAUGAACAAAAAUAACCAUCUCUGUAUUUGUGAAAGCCAAGUUAAUUUGAUUGUUAAUAUCCAAACAAGUUUUCAUGACAACAAAGAAAUGCACUUGACCAUUUACAGCAAAACAGAUUUAUACAAUAACAACAAGUAACUUAUGGCCUUGUCUACCUGCAAAUGAAUUCCUUCAGCAGGUACACAAAAUAUAUUGUUCAGUCAUAAAAAUAUAUAUAUUAUCUCUUUCCUUUAACAUUUAGGUAUAUAAAUAUUUUACUGAAGAACAUGCAUCAUUUAGAUAAACAGUUGCAAGAACAUCCUCUGAAAACAGGGUUCUUUGCCAUUUAGCAGUAUAAAACGAUUACAUAAACAGCAAAUAAAGUCAAGACAAACCAAUACAGCAGUAAGCAGUUCAUUGUGUGCUAGUCCAAAGCACCUUUUGCAACAGAUUAUAUAAGACAUGCACACAGAGAAUGCACUGUAAUGGAGCACAAACAGCAUCGUUCCAUCUGCGUGUUCUUCAGUCUUGUUUGGACUCCAAAUUUACUGUUCACUUUUCUGUUCUUGUUUUCCAUUCAUCUCUUGGUCAACUCUGCUUAGCAAAGAAAGUAGUAAGAGUAAACUAUGUUAACAUAGCUCAUCUUAUUAAGAAAAAAUAUUAACAGGAAAACACAAAGCUUUUAUAUGGGAAAUGUUUUAGUAAAUAAAUAUUAAAUUACAUUUAAUGUAGUAGUCGUGAUGUUUGGGUUCUUUUAAAUAUCUAUUUUCCUACCACCCCCUAAAAAUUAAUUUAAAUUGUUAGGAAAUCAUUUAAGUAACUACAGCACUUGAGGGGAAGCAUUUAAAAAGUGCAAGUCAGGUUUGACUACUGAAGAAAAAAGCAUGGACUGUGCUCAUAACAACAAAUGCAAGCAGAAAUACAGUACAGGCAACAUGACAAUACUGCUAAGCUCUGCCACUGAUGAAUUCAUAAGCACUGAAUUACCUUCUUGGCUUAAUUGCUAUAACAUUAAAGAUAACAGCACUAGUUGAAUUAACAAAAGUGAAGAGGCUCCUGCAAUAAUUUUUCUAUUAUGUUCUAAGACUCUUGCAAUUACCCUGGAAAAGUUCACCAUCAUGCUGAUAAAAGUGGGUUUGAUUUUGUACCGUAUUUCUUACUAUCUGCCUUGGGACCAGCAAACAAAAUGCUGCUUUGCAGAAACCAGGGGAUGAUGAGAUUGGAAGCCCUGCAUAAAAUGUACUUUUCCUCUUUACAGUAAGAACAAGGUACAAUCUUGAUAACAUCUUCUGGCAAAUAAGUUGUGCAUGGAGGUAAAUUAAUUUUAAAACCAACAGCAGUUCUAAAGUGAGAGACUGUCUCUAACAAUCUGCCUAACAUACCUGUCCAGUCUCUCAAACUAUAACCAGCCAGUUGUUCAAAAUGAUAGAAACAGUGACAGCUCCAUUGGGCGACGAAUCCAUAAAAAGGAGCUGCUUUCUACCUGAUUGAAGGGUCAGUAUCCAAUUCUGCCUGUGAUCUCUAUAUCUAAUUUUCACUGAAGAACGUACUACUUUUUACAAAAGUCAUGGUGGUACAGGUGAAGUUAGCAGGGACACCAAAAAGUGCUUGUUCUAGUGGAGAUUUUUUAAAUUGUCACUUAAGUGGAGUAAUUCCUGAAGAAUGUUCAACACAUGACUAGAUUUACAUGUGAGCUUCAAGAAAUAAUUUAAAUUCCUUUUACUUCAAUUUAAGUGUUCCCCUACCCAAUUUAGACAAUAAGCCUUCCUUAACAGUUAGGCACACAGAGGAAAAGUAAUUAAAAAAACUCCAAAGUUAGUAGCAAAAUCUUUCAGUCUCUUUGUUAGUCAGUGAAAAAUAACAUAUCCACUCAAAAAAGUCAUCAGCUAUGGAAUAGCUUGAAUAGUUAGCAGGAGACUGGAAAUUAACAAAGUGGAAAUCUAGUAUUUAUUAGGAAGGAACGUAGGCACUGCAAAUACAAACAGCACUAAAAUACUAAUUUAGAUUGUAUCUAUGCAAGUUAAUAACUAAAAAGGUAGCAAAUACCAAAAAUACAAGAUUCAGUAUUAGAACUUCUUACGGAGUUGCAUCUCUGCUAAUGCAUAGCUACAGCUUAGAACUAAAUACAGCUCAUUUCCAGAGAGAAUUCCUGUUAGAAACAAUGACAUUUGCUUUAAUGGGUUCAUACAGGAGCACUACUUCUGCCUCUUAAAGACUUCAAGUUGAGAACCCAUGUAUCCCCUUAAAAGUGAGUAUCUCACAAAAAAGUGUAAUAGAAACUAUUUAUAAAUAGCUGUCUGAACACCCAGGGUGAGUUCUUUCAGAUUCCAUACUGCCUCCAAGUACAGCAUAGUUGCUGUCAUGCAUAAACACUCGGGCACUAGUGCAUGUUUAUAUUUACAAAUGCUUAUUCCUUUAUGCAAGCCAAUCAACUGGGAGUUAGUUGCAGUGCAAAUUGUCUUAUCUAGAUGCAACCCUAAUCAAAAGAUGAAUAUACCUUUUCUGUUUCUUUCUAAACUUUUCUUCUUCAUACCUUGGUGAGGAAAAGUUUUAUUUCAGUAAAUAUAACACAUAAAGGCCAAAAUCAACAAGCUGCAAACCAGUAUUAGUGUCAAUAGUUUGCAGAAACUUAAUUUUGAAACUGAUAUAAUUAAGAAAAAAAACCACACUGUACCUCCAUUUAUUAGCAUUAAACAAAAACCAUUAAGAUUUAGUUACUAUGACAUAACAAAUGAAUUCAAUACAACCUCUUGUAUAGUGUUAGCAUUCAUCAAUAAAAUCUAGUCUGUAUCCAUAACAGUUUGAAGCCAGAUAUAAUCCUCCACAGAAAUCUGAGAAUUAACUCUUUAAGUUAACCAUGUCCAGACUUUGCAGAACAGUUAAAGGUUCAUCAGUACAGAGAGCAAUCUCUUAAAACUCAGAAUGACAGUCUGAAUAUUCAAAACACACCCAUAAAACCCCAGUAAAAAAAAAAUUCUAAAAACAGCACAAUGCUGCCUCAGCUUUGUCAUGUGUUUCACUCCCACCCCAUGAAAACUGGUUUUCUGUCUUACAGUAAGAGUUAAACUGUGGAACUGACUACUGAAAUAGCCAGCCAUCUGCAGGGGGCACAAGGCUUUGGAUGUGCCCUCAGUGACACUGGGCCACCUUCCCCCAGUUUGUGUCACCUGCUAGGAUGCAGACAACACAGGGUUUGUGUGUCAUACCCUCUAAGAGGCUGUCAUCAGGAUUGUUAGUGUUUUCACCUGCUUUUCUUAAGACCCAAGUUUAUGGUUUCUACUCUGUUACUGCAUUCACAAAUGCUUUUGACAAAAGGAUCAUCAUCUUGUUUGACAGCAGAAUUGUGCUGAUGUUAAAAUGGCUAUUUCUAUCUGGAUGGGAAGGAAAAAAAAUGACACUGAUGCUGUCUUCAUUUCUUUACCAAAGUGGCUUAGAACUGUAGUGGGUAGGGGUUCAGCAUUUUCCCAUCGCUGCUUUUCUUUCAAAUGAGAACCCAAUCCAAUGAUAUUUCAGCACUUUACUUGUUCCACAUUUUAAUUAAAACGCUUUAGAAGACAUUAUAAAAAACUUCAGCGUCAACAUUCCCACAAUUUCUCAUCACAAGCCAGUUUAAUAUACACACCAAGGUGCAGAUCAAGUGGAAUGAGACUUUCUCUAGAAGGCUUAAUUCACACACCACAACUUAGUAAUUGCACAAAGCUCCACUGUGAAAAUGACUAUACAUUAACAUUUUGGCUGUCCAUGCUACUCCAUUCCAAACUGCCUUUAGCAAAGAGGUCAAACAUGGACACUCCUCCUACAGAGAGCAAUUAUCUCAGUUAAGUCAUUAUGUGCCAAGUGUUACAUUCAAACCAAACACUGAUUACAACAUCUAGCAGUCCUAAACCCCAAUCAGUGUAGAAGAUGUUGGAAUAAUGAAACGUACUGUUUUAUGCAUUCUGGGAUGCCAACGUAUUCCAUGGGGAUGAGUUCAGCUAGUUCUGCCAGGGUAAAGACAUACCUAAUUUUUUGGCUGAAUUUUGAGCU
Long non-coding RNA from Passer domesticus (house sparrow), 6442 nucleotides. RefSeq lists it as uncharacterized. The transcript has 2 exons. The record is from RefSeq and is a predicted model, not a curated record. Lineage: Eukaryota; Metazoa; Chordata; Aves; Passeriformes; Passeridae.